Molecule: long non-coding RNA, 2889 nt
Organism: Chenopodium quinoa (quinoa)
Lineage: Eukaryota; Viridiplantae; Streptophyta; Magnoliopsida; Caryophyllales; Amaranthaceae
Exons: 2
Source: RefSeq, a predicted model, not a curated record
UUCACCGUACAUGUACAUCUUGGAAUCGGUUGGAUGGUUGGAUGCAGUCACGUAAGGUUUACGAGGUUUUUCUUUUUGUCAUUUAUAUUUUGCCUGGGUUACUGUUACUGAAAUCCUGAAAUGAGAGUCUGAGAGAGUAUCACUGAAUCAGGAAUCAAACUAUCAACCCUAUAUUUAUGUCUUCCCUCGACCAAAAAUUUCUUUUUCAUCGUUUGAAUUUUUAUUUUCCAAUUUCGAUUCAAGAACUUCCAAUUCAAAUUCUCAUCCUUCGACUUCUGCCGCCGAUUCUACUUCCGCCAUCUGCAAUGCCGCCGAAUCUCGCCUUAGCUCUUGUGAUCUUCAUUCUUCAAUUUAAUCAAGGCCAUUAGAUUGACAAGCCUUGUUGAUCAAAAAGAUCAACUGGCGCUUGCUCGGGUUGCUCCAGAAUAGAAAGAGCUCAUCAUGACCACAUUAAAAACUGUGGGAAGGAUGACAUUAAUAUGUGGCGAUGGUACAGUGAUGUUAGAGCUCUCAAGCAGGUAGUUUUUGUACUUCAUGGUCUUCUAUUAUGUUGCAUACUGAUGUGUUCGCAAAGAGUGAAUUUUUAAAUAAUGCCUUGUGGAAAAUGAAAAGAAAAAAGAAAAAAAAAAUGAAAAGAUUGCAUGGUGUAAGUUCAAUCAAACUGUUUAAAUGUGUGAGAUGUCUUAAUUUCUACUAAGCGUGAAAUUUCAUGCUAAUUGAACUGUCUAGAUACUAUGUUACUUGAGCUUGUGACUUGAAAUAUGAUCCGGAGAGCAAACCUUUCUGUAACAUUUACAAUACUUGGCUAUGAUCACCAUGGUCAGGGUAGGAAUGGACUACUGCUUGGCAUGGAAAUGUAUUGGACAAUUUUAUCAUUGAUCAAGAGAAAGUUGUGCUCUUUCAGCGUUGCUUGGGCUUUUAUGUUUCAUAGUGAGAUUGAUGAAGACCGUUGAGUAUUUGAGUAUUUGCAUAUUUAAUCACCUCCUCAAUAAGGUGCUUGGGGUUUGGUCAAUUGUUGUACAUAUGUGUUUGAACUAGUCAGAUGAUUAUCCAGCUGAUGCUGGGAAGUGACUGGGGCAUAGAUGGAUGGGGUUCUAUAGAGGAUUAGAAGUUGAUGUUUUUGUGUGAUACUUGUUAGACUUGUCUUGUUAGAUGGAUGGGGAAUAGAGGAUUGGAAAGGAAACUCAGGGAAGGGAAGUGAAAAUGAAAGAAGAGAAAAUUUGCAUGUUAAGUUGGAUUGUGCCAAUAAAUUUAGCAACAGCUGAAAGAAUUAAUUAAGUCUCCAGAAGCUUUUGUAGAUUUCCCUUGUUACUGCCAGUAUCUCACCCGUCUAAAAUUCUCACCAGUUGAUUUGACGAUAAUUUCACCAGGGGGGGUGUUUAGCUAUGAGGAAGCAUAAGUUUGAUAGAAUUGAUAGGUGGUAAACCUGUAUACUUGAUAGGGGGCUUUCAGGGAAGGAAAAAAGUAUUCCAUAUUUUCUGCAUGUUUGUAAUUGCUUCUUUUACACCCUUAAAGAUAUAACAAUCUGUCCUAUUUUAUGCUGAACUCAUUCAGAGGGACAGCAUCACAAUCUGAUACAAGGUUCUUCUCUAGUCCAUGCUUUACUACAUGUAGUAGGCUCUAUAAUCAAUGGUUUUGCUCUGCUAAAAUGUAUUAGGCACAUGUUGGGGUGCCUGGGGUGGGGUGGUUUUGCUAAAUGCUGUCCUCAAACCAAAGUGGAGAUCGCUCUGAAGCUUCGAAAUGUAACUACUACAUCCAAGUCCAAGAAACAAGAGAUUGCUUCGGAGGAUAAGAAAGUUGUCAGUGUUAGGCAGUUGAGUUGCAGAAACAGCUGGAAAUAAAUGAUGGAAGAGAUGAAUGAAGAUGGUGGUGAUGGCCGUUCAGCCCCUAUUGUGAAGUUAGGGAAUGCGUCUAUGGCUUCGCCAUUAACGCAUGCAUCAGUGGACCAAAUUACAGAUAUCAUGCGUCAGGGUCAGAGUACUCUUGUUACUACACUUCAGAUGUUCAAUUUAACUGCCUUGCAACUGCCUACGUGUUCGGUGUCAUGAACUUGGAUGGUGUCAAGCUUGGUGAUAUCCAGGCAACUAUUAGUGUGAGGUUUUCAUUGCUGCAUUUUUCCUAUUCAUCUCCCAUGCUCACCCAAUUCAGACUCUCAGCUGAUUGACCACCCAGUCCACCCCAGUAUAUUCUGCUGUUACGUUUUUCUCUCUUUAAUUGGACAGUUUUCUGUCCACCUCCAUUACUUGACUAGUGCCGGGAAGGAGGCUGGGAAAUACAUGCUUGAUGAAUAUAUUGAGCCAGACUCUAAUUUUUAUCCAAACCUGGUAAACACAGUUUCAUACAUGGUUCAAUUGAUGUUGCAGGUUGUCACAUUUGCAGUAAAUUACAUGGGGUAUCCUUUUAAGCAGAGCACUACAGAAAACAAGCCCUUACUUUAUUCUCUUCUAGCAGCUGUUGGUUUCUGUGUCGUCAUGAUGUCUGAUUUAUUAAGGGACCUCAAUGAUUGGCUUAAGCUGGUGCCCAAUUGCCCAUGCCCGCAGCUUUAAGAGAUAAACUAUUGAUCUGGGCUUUGCUCAUGUUCUCAGGUUGCUAUUUCUGAGGUCGUCAUUCCCCAGAAAAAUGCCUGCUUGGAAUGCCAGCAGAAAGCUAUGGGUAACUUGGAGAAGAGAGGUCUAAUUUUUUGGCAAUGAGUUACUGAUGAAACUAUUUCAUCAACCUUUAACUCAUCUCCCUGCUGCUGUCGCCAUACAUAGAUGGAACAAAAUGAUGUUGGCUUACAUGUAGCUAUAUGUUACUUGUUUUAAGGUUAGUUGUGUUGAGAAUUUUUGUUAGGAUAUGCUUCCAUAUUCUUUGCAAAGAAAUGAAUUGCUGAUUUAAUUCCUUCAGACA